Pseudophryne corroboree (corroboree frog) is the source of this 3012-nucleotide long non-coding RNA. RefSeq lists it as uncharacterized. NCBI's taxonomy places the organism in Eukaryota, Metazoa, Chordata, Amphibia, Anura, Myobatrachidae. The transcript is spliced from 3 exons. The record is from RefSeq and is a predicted model, not a curated record.
GUAAGGGGGAUUUGUUUGAUUGACAUGCUGGCCUCGUGGUGAAUGCUAGAAAGAGGAGGUGGAGCCAGUUCCCCCUCCUCUUUGGCGCCUGGCUGAUUGCGGAUGCCGGCUGACUCGCGGUGUCUAUGUUCUAUGAGAGCUGCGAUUUCCUAUUGGGCUUUAUCAGCCUGUACCGUGAGGAGGAGUAUCUGUGGCUGACGUCCUCACCAGACUACAGCAACAAAAAGAAGAGGGAGGCUGCUUAUAACUGCCUGGUGGAGUAUUCCAAGCCCACCUUCUUUGCGGCCUUGGUCGCCUGGGUCCGGAAGAAAAUUGCCAAAAAUUGUAAAAGAGAACCGCAAGGUGGAGGAUUCCAAGAGGUCAGGGGCUGGUGCAGACAAGGUGUAUGUGCCACAGCUAUGGUACUACCAAGAAUUAAACUUCCUCCUGGAGAAACAGUCAACUAAGGUGUUCCUAGUGGUGAUGGCAGAGGACCUCAUUCCGAGUUGAUCGCUAGCUGCCAUUGUUCGCUGUGUAGCGAUCAUUUAAAAAAACGGCAAAACUGUGCAUGCGUAUGCCCCGCAAUGCGCGCACAUGACGUACGGGUACAAUGAGCAUCGUGGUUUUACACAGGUUCUAGCAACGCUUUCAGUCGCACUGGCAGACGCAGAGAGAUUGACAGGAAGUGGGAGUUUCUGGAUGUAAAUUGACCAUUUUCUGGGAGUGAUUGGAAAAAUUUGCUGGGCGGGUAUCUGACAUCAUUACCAUGUCAUUCGUCGCAGAAAUCAUUGCACAGAAUAAGUAACUACAGGGCUGGUCUUGUUCUGCACAAAAUGUGUUUGCAGCCGCUCUGCUGCACAGGCGUUCGCACUCCUGCUAUGCUAAAAUACACUCACCUGUGGGCGGCGACUAUGCGUUUGCUCGGCGGCUAAAAGUAGCUAGCGAGCGAUCAACUUGGAAUGAGGACCAGAGUCCGAGGAGGGAAGUCUGGAUGUGGUGGAGGCCGAAGGGACACCUGAAGACCUUAGCCGUACCCCUGACCUCAACAACACAUCACCAAAGGAACCAAAAUCUCCACAGCUACAGGGUACCAGGAAGAAGCAACAGAAAACCAAAUUUGUUGAAGACCCGCUACAAUUGGAGGCCCGUUUACAGCUGCUCUGGAAACCUGAUGAAUUUGAUGACUUUGCGUCACAUGUUAGCAAAACUAUGCGUAAGGUUUCCAAGCAACAGCAAGUAGAGUGCCAGCGCCUGGUGUCACAGGUUUUGUACAAAACACUCACAGGACAACUGACACCAGAGUGGAACGUUCAUGGGCCAGAACCUCAAGCACCUGCUCCUCAUCUCCCAUUGACCUUCAAUUCACACCCACCUACUCUUCCUCCAGUACCCAUCCUCUUCCGCAUCCCAGUUACCAUUCCGGUUAUCUGCGACCGCAGACCCCAUCCACCUACCCUUCCUCCACUGUCCAUCCUCCUUAAAUCCCUCCUCCUCAAACCAGCCACCCUUCCCGUUAUCGUCAACCCCCACCCCCAUCCACCCACCCUUCCCCACUAUCCAAUCUCCUCCUCACCCCAUCUACCCUUCCAAGCCUCUUUCAAAUGUAGGGUGAUUCUCAUUCACUGCUGCCCUUGUUAUACAUACCAACAGAUAUGGUGCAUUCUGAUACUACGGUGAGUGUCAAUGCUUUCAGGUGGACAAUACACACAUACUGCUAGGGACAGGUUAAUGGUACCUGGGACCCAUCUUCCUGCCCCUAGCUGCAUGUGUGCAUUGCGCCCCUGGCACCUGUGACACUCUACUCCGUAGUAUCAGAAUGCACAACAUCUGUUGGUAUAUAUAAAAUUGCUGCAGCCCUGGUAUAUAUUGCGAUAGUUCUGGUGCACUAUGAUAUACGUCAUUUUAGUGGCAGCGCUUUCAGGUGGACAAUGCACACAUGCAGCUUGGGUCAGGUUGAAGGUGCCGGGAAGCCUGAAGCCGGGCCUACCUGCAUGUGUGCAUUGUGCCCCUGAAAGUGCUGUCACUCAAAAAACACUGUAUAUCAUACUGCACCAUAUUUAUAUUCAAUAUUUUAAUUUGAAGAAAAAGUUCAGCCAUGUUGGCCGCAUAUUACUAAAAUACUUAUGUUUGUAUAUAUAUAUAUAUAUAUAUAUACAAUUAUAUUUUUGGUUCACAAAUGUAUUAAUGCACUUCUAUAUUGCAGCAGAUGUGGUGCAUUCUGAUACUACGGCGUUGAGUGGCACCACAGCCAGGAACCGGGGACCCAUCUUCCUACCACAAGCUGUAUGUGUGCAUUGUGCCCCUGGCUGCGGUGCAACUCAACACAUAGUAUCAGAAUGUACUUGUGCUUUGACUACUCCACUAGGCGGUUAAAGGCAGUCUCUCUCUUCUGUUUGUUCAGUCACCCACCGGCACUCUUCCUCACGGUAGAGUCUGAAAUCAUGUGCCACUACCACCAUAUCUCAUACUGCACCAGAUGCUACUAUAAAGAUCCUGUUUGAAAAAGUUCAGCCAUGUUGGCUGCAUAUUUAUAAAAAUAGUUAUAUUUUGAUAUAGAGAUAUAUAUAUAUAUAUAUAUAUAUAUAUAUAUAUAUAUAUAUAUAUAUAUAUGGCAUUUUUUUACGUUUCAAAUAUGUAAUGCUGCCCUCGCUAUAUAUAGCAACAGAUAUGGUGCAUUCUGAUACUACAAUGUUGAGUUGCACCGCUACCAGGGGCACAAUGCACACAUGCAACUUGGUGCAGGUUGAUGGUACUGGGGACCCAUCUUCAUACCCCAAGUUGCAUGUGUGCAUUGUGCCCCUGGCUGUGGUGCCACUCAAUGGUGUAGUAUCUGAAUGCACCACAUUUGUCGCUAUAUAUAGCUUUUUUUUUAUUAUUUCAUAAAUGUUAUGAUGCAGAUGUGCUGCAUUAUGAAAAUUUAUACUGUUUGCUAAAGUUUAACCAUGUUGGCCACAUAUUUAAUAAAGGUAGGUCUUGAAAUAAAAAGCACAUAUUUUUUCUGCCAAGUUCAGUUUGCAAAAUAAAACAUUUUGU